AGAAGCCAGCAACUUAAAUUUCUGUUUAACUAGUGGAACAUUGGAAACAUACUUACAGCUUUAGCAUAAGAAAAGUUCAACAACAUACAAGAUUCUGAUCAACAUAUGCUGCACGGUAUUAUGUUGGUCCAGUUCCUCUACUCUGCAUUGCAACAAAGUGUAAGGGGUUUCGUAUUUUCUCAAUCCUUCUCAAUAAAAGAAUAAGAGAAAUUGAGAGCUAAGACCAUUUUCUUUCAUUGUACCUCUGUUUCCUCUGCUCCUUUCUCUCUUGGUCAGGCCAAAUGGUGUGUGGUUUGUCCAUUUCUUCUUCACCCCACAUCAAAAAGCAGCAUCCUGGGCUCUCCCAUCUCUCUAUCCCCUUAUCAAGACAGAAUUUGAUGCAUUGCUGUCUUGGAUUCUUCCUAGUCAAAAGGAAGCUUGAAAUGUCUCCACUGCUUCUGCAAAAGUUACCUACUUGUUGAGGGAACAUGCCCCAUCCAAACUAUCUGUAUUUGGGCUUCAUGGUUGUUUUUGGCUUUGCUUUUCUUUUUCUUGUGGUUGUUACUCCUCUUAAAAGGACUAUUGAUUCAUGAUUCAAUGGAUUAUU
RNAcentral lists this long non-coding RNA (586 nucleotides) under Vitis vinifera (wine grape). Its description in RNAcentral is "long non-coding RNA (VVIN_LNC004169)". Lineage: Eukaryota; Viridiplantae; Streptophyta; Magnoliopsida; Vitales; Vitaceae. The record is from RNAcentral.